AGAAAAAGUACAGGGAGUCCAAUGAAAAAGGUUCCUGUUGUUCCUAAAAGCUGUUUUGCAGCUGUUAUUACUGAAAACAUUAAACUUGUGUACCUGAAGAGGAGCUUAGUUCAGGAUCUUCUGAAGACCCCUGAAAGUUUCGAAGAUAAAAUUGUGGGUAGCUUUGUGAGGGUAAAAUCUGACCCAAAUGACUACUUUCAG
Molecule: unclassified non-coding RNA, 201 nt
Filed under: Hevea brasiliensis (rubber tree)
Lineage: Eukaryota; Viridiplantae; Streptophyta; Magnoliopsida; Malpighiales; Euphorbiaceae
Source: RNAcentral